GACGAACGCUGGCGGCGGGCUUAACACAUGCAAGUCGAACGGAAAGGCCCUGCGAUUGUGGUGUGCUCGAGUGGCGAACGGGUGAGUAACACGUGAGUAACCUGCCCUUGACUUUGGGAUAGCUUCAGGAAACUGGGGCUAAGAUCGGAUAGGAGCCCCUGCUGCAUGGUGGGCGUGGGAAAGUCUCGGCGGGCGGGGAUGGACGCGCGGCUGAUCAGCUAGCUGGUGGGGGAGUGGUAUGCCAAGGCAGUGACGGAUAGCCGGCUUGUGAGGGUGACCGGCGACAAGGGGACUGAGAGACGGCCCAGAGGGCAACGGGGGGCAGCAGUGGGGAAUCUUGCCCAGUGGGAGGGAGCCUGAGGCAGAGGCGCCGCGUUCGGGAUGACGGCCUUCUGGUUGAAAACAGCUUUAGCCUGUGACGAAGCGGGAGUGACGGUAAUGGGUGAAGAAGCACCGGCUAACUACGUG
This 468-nucleotide ribosomal RNA is filed under the name uncultured bacterium. Its description in RNAcentral is "partial 16S ribosomal RNA". It matches the Rfam family "Bacterial small subunit ribosomal RNA", at positions 28 to 507 of the family's 1533-position model. The record is from RNAcentral.